CGACCACCCCUUUCACCCUAACACACCCACACGACAGAAAGGGAAGGAAAGAGAGAACGCAGGAGUUGGAAAGAAGAAGGAAAGAGAGGAAGAGAGGAGCGGGGAAGAUGACGCCGGUAAAGAGGCCUGUCGUGGAGAAGAGAGAGGGAUUGUGAGAGGGAGCAAGGCCGAGAGGGAGAUGACGCGAUCGCGAAGCUCGUCUCUGCCAUUGCCUGCAUUGCCAUCCAUGGAGCUGCAGGGUGUUCGCUGUCGUGGUUGCUGGGCCAUCGUCGAACUGCAUGCGCCGUCAUCAGGGUCUUCAUUGUUGCCGUCGAUGAAGGGCUGUCACCGAGGAGCAGAACGCGACAGAGAAGGGAGCAGGAGCCGUCGCCGGAGCUUCCGUGUGCCGCCGUCAGACCUGUUCUGUGCUGGCGUUGUUGGUGGUGGUUUCCUUCGCCGCUGAUGACGUCGCCGGAAGUCACUACGGGAGCCGUUGUUACUCCAUUCUUGGGGGUUCUGCUCUAAGUAUGGAGCGAUCGGAAUUUUUUCCGCCGCUAUGAACUGAAAGUAAAAGGGGUUUUGACACAUUUGGUUUUGAGGGUUUCGACGAGUUGAGAUAGAAUGUAAACAAGCUAAGCAGGUAGAUGAGGGAGUUGAUUCUCUUACCUUGUAAUCUCUGCUGUCAUCUUCCACUGAGUUUUCCAAGAGGAACAUCAUCAUCAUCCUGGAGCAGGAACUUCAAGCGUAUGCAUUAUUUUAUCAUAAAUAUCCAGAAUUCUGUCAGAAAAUGCAAAGGAAAAUUAUACAUAUCCUCCUGAAUGAUAAAUACAUCACACCAGAUACUUGUUUUCAAAAGGCACAAACUCUGGUUAGAAAGGGAAAGACACUAAUGAUGUGUGGAACUGGCGAUCUUAGGGACUGCAUUCAAUGUUUGUCAGAAGCAAUAACUAUCAUGGAGAUAUUUGUUGAGACGGUGCCAAUAAAAAUGCCAUUGAGCAUCAGUUGUCGGUGGCCUAUUUCAUGCGUGCACUUUGUACCCAAGUAGCUGAACCAAGUUCAAAGGUAUUUGCUAGGCUCUUUCAUUUGCAAAGGAAGCCCACCAUUUACAUUCUCAGAUCUUCCAUAAAAAGUACAAUGUAAUAGUUAAUUUCUCAGAGGAUCUUAGGGAACUUGAGAGACUUGAAAUGAUAAAAUCAGUUGCUAAGGGAGCAAUGCUAUUUGAUUCUACAAUUACAUCAUGGAACUUGGAAGAAUGUUAUCUUAGUCCAUAGAAAAUAUUGCAGUAUCUACAGAGCACUCUUCAGGUUUGACUUUGUCACAUCAUCUAUCUUGUAUUUGAGUCAAAUCUAUUUGGUGAAUUGGUGGUAUCCUGUUAUGCACUACAAUUCAAUUUCUGACAAUGUUUAAACUUGGCAUCUCCUAUAUUCGUGUUGCCUGUACACAUGUGCACACAUUCACACGAGAAAAAUUCCUUCAAAAAGUCGAUGUAAUAUUUAGGUUUUUGGUUAAGUUUUGGGGAAAUAUUUUGUAGCCAAAUAUUUAGUUGCUUAAUCCUCUUUUUGAGCUUUAUAGUUUCUAACUAUGCUUCCUUUUGUCAUUUGGAUUGGUCAUGACCUUAUGAUGAUAAUGAUACUGCAACAGGUGUCUAAAUUAGUUGCUGUAAUACAUGUUUCCAUCUUGAGGGAGAAAUUUUCUGUGUCAUCUCUUAGCCAAACUUCGAAUGAAAAUGAUUGGCUUCA
Molecule: long non-coding RNA, 1718 nt
Organism: Arachis duranensis
Lineage: Eukaryota; Viridiplantae; Streptophyta; Magnoliopsida; Fabales; Fabaceae
Exons: 5
Source: RefSeq, a predicted model, not a curated record